Molecule: transfer RNA, 64 nt
Filed under: Nippostrongylus brasiliensis
Lineage: Eukaryota; Metazoa; Nematoda; Chromadorea; Rhabditida; Heligmosomidae
Rfam family: tRNA
About the family: Transfer RNA (tRNA) molecules are approximately 80 nucleotides in length. Their secondary structure includes four short double-helical elements and three loops (D, anti-codon, and T loops). Further hydrogen bonds mediate the characteristic L-shaped molecular structure. tRNAs have two regions of fundamental functional importance: the anti-codon, which is responsible for specific mRNA codon recognition, and the 3' end, to which the tRNAs corresponding amino acid is attached (by aminoacyl-tRNA synthetases). tRNAs cope with the degeneracy of the genetic code in two manners: having more than one tRNA (with a specific anti-codon) for a particular amino acid; and 'wobble' base-pairing, i.e. permitting non-standard base-pairing at the 3rd anti-codon position.
Source: Rfam by way of RNAcentral
GUCUCAGUAGCGUAGUAGUUAACGCACGACCCCGACUACGCGGGUUCGAAUCCCGCCUGAGAUA